ACUCAAAGGAAUUGACGGGGGCCCGCACAAGCAGCGGAGCGUGUGGUUUAAUUCGACGCAACACGCAGAACCUUACCCAGAUUGGACAUGCAGCUGCAACCAGGGGAAACCCUGGUGCCUUCGAGGGUGCUGCACAGGUGCUGCAUGGCUGUCGUCAGCUCGUGUCGUGAGAUGUUGGGUUAAGUCCCGCAACGAGCGCAACCCUUGUCCCGUGUUACCUGUGUCACGGGGGACUGCCGUGGUGUUACCACGGAGGAAGGCGGGGAUGACGUCAAGUCCGCAUGGCCCUUACGUCUGGGGCGACACACACGCUACAAUGGCCGGAGGAAUGCGCCGCGACUCCGCAAGGGGAAGCUAAUCGCGAAGACCGGUCGCAGUGCAGAUUGGGGGCUGCAACUCGCCCCCAUGAAGGCGGAGUUGCUAGUAACCGCGUGACAGCAGAGCGCGGUGAAUACGUACCCGGGCCUUGCACACACCGCCCGU
Molecule: ribosomal RNA, 483 nt
Filed under: uncultured bacterium
Lineage: Bacteria
Description: partial 16S ribosomal RNA
Rfam family: Bacterial small subunit ribosomal RNA
Source: RNAcentral